Pezoporus flaviventris is the source of this 834-nucleotide long non-coding RNA. RefSeq lists it as uncharacterized. The transcript has 3 exons. Lineage: Eukaryota; Metazoa; Chordata; Aves; Psittaciformes; Psittacidae. The record is from RefSeq and is a predicted model, not a curated record.
GCAGCCAUCUCCCUCCCUACAUGCAAACCCCAGUCUGGACUAGGGCCACAGCUCCAUACUUGUUUUGCCAGGCCCCUCAGGAGGACUGAACAAGCCAUCAUUAGGUUUCAGAGCAACCUGCUGAGACAAGAUCUCUUGACAUACGAUCUAAAAUGGAUGAACCAAGACAUAGGCAAAGUUGCAGCAAAUGAAACCCAGAACAAGCAUAGCCAUCUAAGGGAACCCCUCAAAAGUGCUUUCUCUCUCUUGAUCCGCUCCUUUUCUGUCCAGCCAAAGAAACGAGUUAAUGGACUAAUUUUUCCACUCAGUCCAUUGGCUGGGGAAUUACCAAGUAAUACAAGGCAGCUGUUCCUGCAUUUGAAAGCUCUUAUACUAAGUUAGAACUUACCCAGAGAAAGAAGCUUGCAUUAGGGUGGAGGAGUGUGACAAAAGCAGCAGGGGUCCUGGGCUGGCUGCUCAGAGGAAAGAUGAGGAUUUUAUGAAGCUGCAUCAGAGCACUAUAACCAUCCUCUUCACCACAGGAGGAAGACUCAGCACCCCAGAUCAUGGAGUGUUUCAGAAGGACAGAAGCAGGCUGAAGGACUGGGCCAACAGGAGCCUGGUGAAAUUCAGCAAGGACAAACACUAAGUUCUGCAAUUCGGAGAAACUAACCCCAUUGUACAGCACUGGAGAGCAGCCAUGCUGAAAAAUGUGGUGGGUCAUUGGAGGCAAUGGGCUGAACAUGAGCUAGCAGCGUGCCAUGGCAGCUAAGGUGGCCAAAGCAGGGGGCCUGUGUUAGAGCACAGUAGGUGAAGUGCUUAGACCCCUGUCCUUGGCACUUGUUAGACCACAUC